Molecule: long non-coding RNA, 1092 nt
Filed under: Salmo trutta (river trout)
Lineage: Eukaryota; Metazoa; Chordata; Actinopteri; Salmoniformes; Salmonidae
Description: lncRNA (ENSSTUG00000044365.1)
Source: RNAcentral
AUGCUGCUGCAGGCCUACCUGCAGACUCUGUUUCCCCGGCUGCAGGGGGUACAGAGGAGCUCCUCCGGAAAGCGAUGGAGGUGGCUCGCCUGCUUUGCCUGCUCCAGAGGGAUGUGGCCCGCUCCAACGUACGGGCCAUGGUGCAGGUGUGUACCUCCCGGCGCCAUCUCUGGCUGGCCCAAUCCCGCUGCUGUCCAGAGCACAUUUGUCACUCUCCCCAUCACCCCAGGGCUGACCUUUGGCACAGGGGUUAAUGACAUUCUGGAGCAGACCGAUAAGGUUCGUAUGGACCGGGAGACCCUGAGAUGGUUCAUGCCGCCUCCUCAGGCCCCGGGUCCAAGGCAGACGGACCGUUGCCACCACCUGCACCAGAAUGACGGUGGGGUCCCUCUCCUGCCCCAUCGCCUCGUGCUGAGGAACGACAGCGGGGAGGGGCACAGUGUGCGGUGGAACAACAACUUGUCAACCGUCACCGCCAUAGGGAUGUGCCUGGGGGACCCAGGCGCCAGAGGAAAGGCGGGCCCCGGCAGGACCCCUGACACACCCUUCCCCAGCCUGGUCUCAAAGGGCAAAGUGGGAGGAGUGUGUGGAGUCCCUAUGGGUGUUGUCCACAAUGCUCGAAGGGUACCAACUCCAAUUCCGCUGUCGGCCCCCGUCCUUCAGGGGCCUUCUUGUCACCACAGUGGCCGACCCCCUGAAGAUAACCCUGCGGCUGGAGAUCUCCUCACUCCUGGACAAGGGUGCCAUCCGCAGGAUCGAGAGUUCAGAACCAAAAAUAACCAAAAAGAGUCAAGAGGGUUUAGACCGAUUCUGGACCUCCGCAACCUCAAUGGGUACUUAAAGCUACUGAGGUUUCACAUGCUGUCCCCAGUCCGUGUGUUGCAGGCCGUGUCCAGGGACCAGUGGUUUGUGAUGCUGGACCUGAGGAAUGUGUAUUUCCAUGUUCCUGUUUACCCAGCUCAUUGGCAGUACCUCCUAUUCGCUUUCGAAGGGAGGGCUUAUGAAUUCAUGGUUCUUCCCUUUGGCCUCUCCUUGGCACCCCGUACUUUCACAAAGCGCAUGGACGCUGUCCUGGCACCUCUCACGUCCUGA